This 269-nucleotide ribosomal RNA is filed under the name uncultured prokaryote. Its description in RNAcentral is "partial 16S ribosomal RNA". It matches the Rfam family "Bacterial small subunit ribosomal RNA", at positions 524 to 792 of the family's 1533-position model. The record is from RNAcentral.
UACGUAGGUGGCAAGCGUUGUCCGGAAUUACUGGGUGUAAAGGGAGCGCAGGCGGGGAAGCAAGUCGGCUGUGAAAUGCAUAGGCUUAACCUAUGAAUUGCAGUUGAAACUGUUUUCCUUGAGUGGAGUAGAGGUAGGCGGAAUUCCGAGUGUAGCGGUGAAAUGCGUAGAUAUUCGGAGGAACACCAGUGGCGAAGGCGGCCUACUGGGCUCUAACUGACGCUGAGGCUCGAAAGUGUGGGGAGCAAACAGGAUUAGAUACCCUGGUA